CCCUUAGAUGUUCUGGGCCGCACGCGCGCUACACUGAUGCAUUCAACGAGCCUAUCCUUGACCGACAGGUCCGGGUAAUCUUUGAAUCUGCAUCGUGACGGGGAUAGAUUAUUGCAAUUAUUAAUCUUCAACGAGGAAUGCCUAGUAGGCGCAAGUCAUCAGCUUGCGUCGAUUACGUCCCUGCCCUUUGUACACACCGCCCGUCGCUCCUACCGAUUGAAUGAUUUAGUGAGUACCAGGGACCGAGCGCUUUGGUUGGGUUUCCUUCCCUAGCGCUUGGGAACUGUCGCAAACUUGACCAUUUAGAGGAAGUAAAAGUCGUAACA
RNAcentral lists this ribosomal RNA (326 nucleotides) under uncultured eukaryote. RNAcentral describes it as "partial 18S ribosomal RNA". It matches the Rfam family "Eukaryotic small subunit ribosomal RNA", at positions 1470 to 1796 of the family's 1831-position model. The record is from RNAcentral.